UAUUUAGCUGUUAACUAAAAUUUCGUGAGGUAGAAGCUCACCAAUCUAG
Molecule: transfer RNA, 49 nt
Filed under: Canis lupus (wolf)
Lineage: Eukaryota; Metazoa; Chordata; Mammalia; Carnivora; Canidae
Description: partial tRNA-Asn
Source: RNAcentral